Molecule: ribosomal RNA, 450 nt
Filed under: uncultured bacterium
Lineage: Bacteria
Description: partial 16S ribosomal RNA
Rfam family: Bacterial small subunit ribosomal RNA
Source: RNAcentral
GUGGGGAAUAUUGGACAAUGGGCGAAAGCCUGAUCCAGCCAUGCCGCGUGUGUGAAGAAGGUCUUCGGAUUGUAAAGCACUUUAAGUUGGGAGGAAGGGCAGUAAGUUAAUACCUUGCUGUUUUGACGUUACCGACAGAAUAAGCACCGGCUAACUUCGUGCCAGCAGCCGCGGUAAUACGAAGGGUGCAAGCGUUAAUCGGAAUUACUGGGUGUAAAGCGCGCGUAGGUGGUUCAGCAAGUUGGAGGUGAAAUCCCCGGGCUCAACCUGGGAACUGCCUCCAAAACUACUGGGCUAGAGUACGGUAGAGGGUAGUGGAAUUUCCUGUGUAGCGGUGAAAUGCGUAGAUAUAGGAAGGAACACCAGUGGCGAAGGCGACUACCUGGACUGAUACUGACACUGAGGUGCGAAAGCGUGGGGAGCAAACAGGAUUAGAAACCCGGGUAGUCC